This is a long non-coding RNA of Pyrus x bretschneideri (Chinese white pear), 759 nucleotides long. RefSeq lists it as uncharacterized. The transcript is spliced from 2 exons. Lineage: Eukaryota; Viridiplantae; Streptophyta; Magnoliopsida; Rosales; Rosaceae. The record is from RefSeq and is a predicted model, not a curated record.
GAUAUGACUCUGUUAAAUGAUUAAAUAUAUAUAUAUAAUUAAAUGUGAUAUAAAAGUCCCUCAUUCACAUUCUCUCCUCUCCCUCAAUUUCUCCGUCCCUCGUAAUGGAACUCUCGCAAUCCUCGUCGGCGGCGACGAAAAAACCGUAUGGAAACCCCUCUGUUCGCAUUGCUGACGAUCCAGACUAUCAUCCCUUCCACGAUGGUGGGGCUGGUGGAGGAGAGGAUAUUCGCCCACAAGUCCAGCCUCGAUGUGGAUCUUUUCCUUGACGCGAUCAAAACUGGUGUCGUUGAGUCGAAGUCGCUGGAUUUAUACGACAGUGGAAUUUUUAAGAGGGAUUUGGAACCGGGCCCCCUGGGAGGAGAUUCUCUCGCCAAAGGCCGAUUUUGUGCGAAAGCUUGAAGAAGGGCGAGGAAGUGGCUCUCCAUUCCCUAGAGCGAUUGAAGCCUUCAAGAUGCUCCGAACUGGGUCUUCUGGUUUCUGACCAUUCAAGCCUCAUUUCUUGCUGGCGUUGCGCUGCUCGAUCUUGCGCUUUCAUGCUUUAUUUUCGAUUUCUUCCCAAACGUAGUGUGAUUAGUAUGGUUUCCAGCAGAGCGUUGGAGGCAAUUGGAAAGUUAAAAUGUACAUGUACAUCUGUUAUUUGAAAGAAUUUUAGUUUAUAAGUUCCCUUGCGCGAAAUAAUAGCAUUGAGAUAUUUUAAGUCUCAUGAUCUUAUUCUGUAUAAGCUUAUGAAAAUCAGAAGAUAUAUAUGAUUGUGUA